Non-coding RNA from Erpetoichthys calabaricus (reedfish), 82 nucleotides. Lineage: Eukaryota; Metazoa; Chordata; Cladistia; Polypteriformes; Polypteridae. The record is from the annotation of a RefSeq genome assembly.
GACAAGGUGGCCGAGUGGUAAAGGCAAUGGACUGUUAAUCCAUUAUGCUCUGGACGUGUGGGUUCGACUCCCACCCUUGUCG